This 253-nucleotide ribosomal RNA is filed under the name uncultured bacterium. RNAcentral's name for it is "partial 16S ribosomal RNA". It matches the Rfam family "Bacterial small subunit ribosomal RNA", at positions 524 to 776 of the family's 1533-position model. The record is from RNAcentral.
UACGGAGGGGGCAAGCGUUGUUCGGAAUUACUGGGCGUAAAGGGCGCGUAGGCGGCCUGUUAAGUCGGACGUGAAAUCCCUCGGCUCAACCGGGGAACUGCGUCCGAUACUGGCGGGCUUGAAUUCGGGAGAGGGAUGUGGAAUUCCAGGUGUAGCGGUGAAAUGCGUAGAUAUCUGGAGGAACACCGGUGGCGAAGGCGGCAUCCUGGACCGACAUUGACGCUGAGGCGCGAAAGCCAGGGGAGCAAACGGG